CAGCCGCCACGGUAAUACGGAGGGUGCAAGCGUUAAUCGGAAUUACUGGGCGUAAAGCGCACGCAGGCGGUCUGACAAGUCAGAUGUGAAAUCCCCGGGCUUAACCUGGGAACUGCAUUUGAAACUGUCAGGCUGGAGUCUUGUAGAGGGGGGUGGAAUUCCAGGUGUAGCGGUGAAAUGCGUAGAGAUCUGGAGGAAUACCGGUGGCGAAGGCGGCCCCCUGGACAAAGACUGACGCUCAGGUGCGAAAGCGUGGGGAGCAAACAGGAUUAGAGACCCGAGUAGUCCCUGUCUCUUAUAC
This 301-nucleotide ribosomal RNA is filed under the name uncultured bacterium. RNAcentral describes it as "partial 16S ribosomal RNA". It matches the Rfam family "Bacterial small subunit ribosomal RNA", at positions 509 to 807 of the family's 1533-position model. The record is from RNAcentral.